Molecule: ribosomal RNA, 309 nt
Filed under: Clostridioides difficile
Lineage: Bacteria; Bacillati; Bacillota; Clostridia; Peptostreptococcales; Peptostreptococcaceae
Description: partial 23S ribosomal RNA
Rfam family: Bacterial large subunit ribosomal RNA
Source: RNAcentral
CACUGGUCGAGUGACCCUGCGCCGAAGAUUUCCGGGGCUAAAACUUACUACCGAAGCUACGGCAUCAGUAAUGAUGGGUAGGGGAGCUUCCCAUACGGGUUGAAGCAUGACCGUAAGGACAUGUGGACAGUAUGGGAGUGAGAAUGUUGGCAUGAGUAGCGAGAUGUGGGUGAGAAGCCCACAGGCCGUAAACCCAAGGUUUCCAGGGGAAGGUUCGUCCGCCCUGGGUUAGUCGGGACCUAAGCUGAGGCCGAAAGGCGUAGGUGAUGGACAACAGGUUGAUAUUCCUGUACUACCGAUAACCGUUUG